This 142-nucleotide small nuclear RNA is filed under the name Strigops habroptila (Kakapo). RNAcentral's name for it is "U1 spliceosomal RNA (ENSSHBG00005017554.1)". It matches the Rfam family "U1 spliceosomal RNA". From Rfam's summary of the family: U1 is a small nuclear RNA (snRNA) component of the spliceosome (involved in pre-mRNA splicing). Its 5' end forms complementary base pairs with the 5' splice junction, thus defining the 5' donor site of an intron. There are significant differences in sequence and secondary structure between metazoan and yeast U1 snRNAs, the latter being much longer (568 nucleotides as compared to 164 nucleotides in human). Lineage: Eukaryota; Metazoa; Chordata; Aves; Psittaciformes; Psittacidae. The record is from Rfam by way of RNAcentral.
AUAUUUAUUUAGCAGAGGAGACACCAUGAUUACGGUAGGGGGUUUUCCCAGUGUGAGAAUCGUCCCGUGCGGUUUCCCUAAAUGCGGCAAACUGGACUGCAUGAUUUGUGGUAGUGGGGGAGUGUGUUCGCGCUCUCCCCUG